CUGGGCUCUUGGUUUCAUUCGUGCUGAAAGCCAGGAAAGGGUUUUCUGCUCAGAUUCACAGAGUGGCAUCACAAAACACUGUGCUCGUGUAACUGAGCGAGUGGUCUCACCCAGAUGAACCAGAUGCUCUUCAGUGUCUGAGUCCUCUAAUGAUCUCACAAUGAUACUAUGUCACUGAGACAACUUUCUCUGACUUCAUUAUUUACAUGCCAGCACCACAGAAUUCUGGAAAAAAUAAGGAGAAGGGGUUCUUCAGGACAGAGGU
Long non-coding RNA from Passer montanus (Eurasian tree sparrow), 265 nucleotides. RefSeq lists it as uncharacterized. The record is from RefSeq and is a predicted model, not a curated record. Lineage: Eukaryota; Metazoa; Chordata; Aves; Passeriformes; Passeridae. The transcript has 3 exons.